RNAcentral lists this long non-coding RNA (2044 nucleotides) under Marmota monax (woodchuck). Lineage: Eukaryota; Metazoa; Chordata; Mammalia; Rodentia; Sciuridae. The record is from RNAcentral.
CAUGCCUAGUCUUUUUUUUUAUAUUCAGUUGUAGUUAUUAAUACCUUUAUUUAUUUAUUUAUUUUCAUGCGAUGCUGAGGAUUGAACCUAGGGCCUUGUGUGUAGGUGAGUGCUCCCUGCUGAGCCACGCCCAGCCCCUCAUGCCUAGUCUUUUCAGGAGCCUCCAUACUGAUUUCUGCGGUGGUUGUAACAAUUUAAAUCCCAGCAAGAGCGUAAAGUGUCCCCUUUGUCCCCUCUCCAGCACUUGUUGUUUGUAUUCUUGAUGACUGCCCUUCUGACUGGGGUGAGAGGAAGUCUCAGUGUAGUUUUGAUUUGCAUGUCCCUAUUUGCUAGAGAUGUUGAGCAUUUUUUCAUGUGUUUAUUGGCCUUUUGUAUUUCUUCUUUGGAGAAGUGUCUGUUUAAUUCAUUUUCCCACUCAUUGAUUGGGCUGUUUUUCUCUUGUGAGGUUUUGUGAGUUCUUUAUAUAUUCUAGAUAUUAACUCUCUGUCAGAAGAGGAGUCAGCCAAGGUUUCUCCUAUUCUGUAGAUUCUCUCUUCAUGCUCUAGUUGCCUUUGCUGUGCAAAAGCUUUUGAAUUUGAUGCCAUCCCAUUUAUUAAUCCUGGGUAUUCCUUCUAGCUUUGGAGUCCUGUUGAGGAAGUCCAAGCCUGCAUCCACCUAUACAGGUGUGUUGAUCUUAUGUUCUCUUCUAGGAGUUGCAUGGUUUGGGGUCUGAUUCCUAGGUCUGUGAUCCAUUUUGAGUUGACUUCUGUGCAGGGUGAGCAAUAGGGAUCCAUUCUCAUUCUUCUACAUAUGUAUGACCAGUUUUAUCAGCACCAUUUGUUAAAAAGGUGCCUUUGCUCCAAUAUGUUUUAGGCACCUUUGUGAAGGGUCAGAUGAUGGUAUCUGUGUGGGUUUGUCUGUGUCUUCUAUUCUGUUGUUCUGUGUGUCUGUUUUAUGCCAGUACCAUGCUGUUUUUUUUACUAUAGCUCUUUAGUAUAAUUUGAAGUCAGAUAUUUGAUGCCUCUAGCCUGGCUCUUAUUGCUCAGAAUUGCUUUGGCUACUCUGAGUCUUUUAUUCUUCUAAAGGAAUUUUAGACUGUUUCCCCCCUUGUUCUGUGAAGAAAGUCAUUGGUGUUUUGACGGGAUUGCACUGAUCUGUAUGUGCUUUUGGAAAGGUGCCAUUUGGACAGUGUUAAUUCUGCACGUCUGUGGACACGGAGGGCUUCCCAUCUUCUUGUGUCUCCUUCCGUUUCUUUCUUCAGUGUAGUUCUGUAGACGUCUUUUACUUCCUGGGUCAGAUUCCUACGUGUGUGUGUGUGUGUGUGUGUGUGUUUGUGGUUUUAGGUUUUUGUGAAUGGGAUAAUUUUCCUGAUUUCUUUCUCAGCAGAUUCAUUAUCUGUGUAGAGGAAAGCUAGUGAUCUUUGUAUGUUGAUUUUGUAACUUGUUGUUUGCUGAACGUGUUCAUCGGCUUGAGCUUUCUGUAUGGUCUGAGUACAGGACCCACCAUCUGAAGCACCAGUGACGUGACCUCUUCCUUUUGUGUUUCUGUCCCUUUCCUUCCUCUCCUGCCUGGUGGCUAGAGUGUCUGUGCUGUAUUAAUGAGAGUGGUCAGAGUGCACACUCCUGUCUUGCUCCAGGUUUUAAAGAAGGGCUCUCGAGCGGGUUAUGACUCUCCAAGUUGCUCAGGUUGGCUCUGAGUUCUUGAUCGUCCUGCCUCAGCCUCCCGAGCUGCUGGGAUCAUAGGUGUGCACCAUAUUCUUGCAACCCUGGAAUAAAACCACCUUGUUCAUGGUGUGCAGUCUUCUUAAUGUGUUCAACACAGCUUGCUGAUACUAAGGUUUCUUUGCAUGUAUGGUCAUCAGAAAUAUUGGUCUGUAGUUUUACUCUUUCUUUCUCUCUCUCUCUCUCUCUCUCUCUCUUUCCUGGGGAUUGAACCCAAGAGCAAUUUACCAUAUCCCCCAGCUCUGUUUAUUUAUUUAAAUAUUUAUUUUUUAGUUGUAGUUGAACACGAUAUCUUUUUUAUUCAUUUAUUUAUUUAUUUCUGUGUGGUGCUGAGGAUCGAACCC